This 1881-nucleotide long non-coding RNA is filed under the name Homo sapiens (human). RNAcentral's name for it is "HSALNT0196526". Lineage: Eukaryota; Metazoa; Chordata; Mammalia; Primates; Hominidae. The record is from RNAcentral.
UGAUCAGAGAAGGUUUCUUUGAGGGUGACAUUUGAGCAAAGACGUGAAUAAAGAGACAGUUGGAGCCAUGUGGAGAUGUGAGGAGGAGGGUUCCAGGCCAGGGGACCCGUACGUGCCAAGGCCCUGAGAGCACACAAUUUAACCCAGGACAGCAGGGAGACAGCACCCCAGGCCGAGUGAAGGGGAGGACCGCACAGGCAAACGGUGAGCACCCAGGCAGGGGACGGCUGUGGCUCUUGGGCCCUUUCUUCCUGCAAACCUUCCUCGUGAAGAAAAGAAUGAAGCCGAGUUCUGUAGGACAUGGGGAGAAAGAGGCCCUGAUCCGCCCCAGUCCAGCUGAAAGCCUUCUCCCUGCAAAUUGCCAACUCUCCCCACGACCUCCGUCCCCACCUCACUUCCCUCGCUCCCUCCUUGCGGUUCAGGCAGCCAGACCCUCUUAUCACUCACACACACAGCUUCCUUUUUAGCCCAAAGGUCGUUAUUUUAACACCUGUUGGGAAAACAAGCAGGUUACUCCCAGGGGGUAGGGAAGAGGAGGGAAGAGGGGAGAUGCUAUUUGUAGGGCUGACACCUGCCCCCUGCCCCUCAAAGCAAGGCAGGAGCAGAAGCAGGGGCCAGGCACGCCUCUCCCCUGUUUCCUGACCUCUGGAGCCACUCUAACUCCAGCUGCCUUCACUGCUUAACAAACCAGCCCCAAACUUAGCCACUUAAAACAACAGCCGCCACUUAUCUGCUCAGAAUUCUGCAAUUUGGGCAGGAUCAGGCAUCGUGGUGGUCCCCACCCCACGUGUGUUAUCUGGGGGGCUCAGCUGGGGCUGGAUGGCCCAGCACGGCAUCACCCACAUUGUUUAGCACUGGAGCUGGGUACACUCUUCUCUCUCCCCUUGUAACUCAUCUCCCAGGCUUCACUCUGUCCCUGCGGUCUCUCCCUCUUCUAGAACCUGGCCUGAGCUACUUUGCGGGCCAGCUGGAUUCCAAGAGAGAGAAAAUAGAAGUCGCCAGGUCUCUUAAGGCUUAAUCCAGAACUGCAGGGAGUCACCUCCACAGCAUCCCGGGGGUCAAAGGAUUCACAGAGCCUGCCCACUUUCAAGGGGUGGGGACACAGACUCCACCUCCCAUGGGAGAGGUUGCAGGCCCCUGCAGGGAGGGGGAGCACUGCUGGCAGCCAUCUUUGCAGGCAACCCUCACACUCUUCCAUUUGGCCUCCAGCUGGCCUGGCGAGGCACCAGAGGCUGUAGAGGAAAGCGCCUCCCACCUGUGAGAUGCCAACAAGAUACCCAGGGUCUGAAGAGUCUUAAAAGAAAAGCAAGGAGCGGGGGUAUGAUAUCCGACCAAAGAGCAAACGCCCGAGCCACUUGGCACUGCACUCUAACUGGGAGGCUGAGCACACAAAUUAGAUGUUUGUAAGAAUAAACAGUCAUUAGAACUCGAGAACUAGAGGAGAAAUAAACAUCAUUUCAAGAUAUUUGACUAAUUUGGCUCUGAGCUCUGCCUGCCUGUGAAUGUGCUGGUUUCUGGCUUGCGGGGAUGCCUGUGUAUCUGUGCAUGCUUCUUGUUAGCCCUCUUGGUUACGUGUCCUUACUGAGUGCCAAAGUCUCCUCUGUAAAAUGGGGAUAACAGCAACACCCAACUCAAGGGUGUUGGGAGAGUGGAACAAGGAAAUACACACAAAUUGAUUAAAACAGAGCCUGGCACCUAUAGUAAGUGCUCAAGAAAUGUGAGCAAUACUCUACAUUUGCUCACAUAUUCAUUCGUUCAGCAAAUAUGCAGAGGGUCCCAGCCAGGGGAGGCCCUGUUCCUAGUGUUAGGGAUCAAAAGACAGUGAGAUUCCUCGUGCCAGCUGAUGCCAGGCACACGGUGGGCGCCCAGGAACAGAUUUUU